This 72-nucleotide transfer RNA is filed under the name Spirochaetales bacterium. RNAcentral describes it as "tRNA-Glu". It matches the Rfam family "tRNA". Rfam says of the family: Transfer RNA (tRNA) molecules are approximately 80 nucleotides in length. The record is from RNAcentral. Lineage: Bacteria; Pseudomonadati; Spirochaetota; Spirochaetia; Spirochaetales.
GUCUCCAUCGUCUAGCGGUUAGGACAACGGGUUUUCAUCCCGUCAACAGCAGUUCGAUUCUGCUUGGAGAUG